Pseudopipra pipra is the source of this 1853-nucleotide long non-coding RNA. RefSeq lists it as uncharacterized. The record is from RefSeq and is a predicted model, not a curated record. Lineage: Eukaryota; Metazoa; Chordata; Aves; Passeriformes; Pipridae. The transcript is spliced from 4 exons.
CGGGCACACAUUGGAGCAGGGAAAGAGUGUGAGGAGUCCUCCUCCUGAGGAGGAAGGAGUGAGUGGCAGACACAAUGAACUGACUGCAACCUCCACUCCCUGUCCCCCUGAGCUGGAGGGGGAGGAGGUAGAGAAUUUGGGAGUAAAGUUGAGCCCAGGAAAAAGGGAGGGAUGAAUCAGUUAGUGAAGAAUUCAUGACUCAUUCCUACAAAAAAAUUUCUUGAACUUCCCCACCUAUGUGGCCUGAGGAUCAUACCCCUACUGACUUAUCUUCUAGCAAGCUUUCUCAUUUCAUCAGCAAGAAGUUCUUAAUUUUCUUUUUGAUAUUGCAUCCAUGAGGACAUGGUUGUUGAGUUAUCACUGAAAUGGAAGGCAUGAUCAAACUCAAGAUUUCUAGCAUUACAAUCUGACUACAAGCACAGCUGAUAGUUCUGCUGACUAUUUUGUGAGUUCAGUACUAUAGCAGCACUGGAUGCAAGCUUCAGCAAAUCUAUUUAAAAGGUAUUAUCUUGCAAGAUUUGAAAGACACUGACAGGAGACAGAUGAUGGAAUGACUUUCUUCUUUUGCCUGAGCAAAAAAAAAUUGCAUUGCUGCUCUGCUGUGCAAAUAAAUCACUAUCUCAAGUCCUGAGUGGUGUAAAAGCACAGAAGUGGCUUGAAACAACUCAUCAGUGACAUCCAAAUAGUCCUCUUUGUAAAUAUAAUUCACAAAUCUAGAAUAAACAGAAAGUCAACUGUCUUCAGUGUUGCAGGACUGCACCAAAACUGGUUUUAAAAGAUACCAAGUAUAAUUUAAAGUGAUUCCAUAAGGUUAAAGAACUUGGAUCUCUCCCUGUCAUAUGUGCAAAUUCAGAAUCCUUUGAAUGGUGUUGCUACUGCAGUGCAAGUAAAAUGAUAGUCAUACUCUAUCAUAUGUAAAUAUUAAGCUGAACAGAUUUUAAAUUCCCAUUGGCUGGGAAAUGGAGUAAUUCCAUAACCUCAGUGAAGUUAUUUUGAUUUUAUAGUAACAUAGUAUAGCCCUUGGUCUCUUAUCUUCUCUAAUGUAUGUUGUGCGGAAUUUUAAUGUUGCUCAGGAAUUAACAGAAGUAUCAAUCAUACUUUAGCAAAGCCUCAAAAUACUUUCUAGUCAUAUGGAUUAUCACAAAAAUACUGAAAAUGUAAAAGGACUCGCAAUUCUGAUUUUAAUAGUUAGUGCAUGGCCAUGCUCAUAUAUGAAGAAUCUUUCUUGAAAAGUGACAUAGGAAUUGAAACAAAAUAUAAUUUAAAAUUGUAGAAUUUAUAAUAAUAUGUUUCACAUAGGCACUGUGUAAAUAAGGAUGUAGAUUGAAAAUUUUUUUGUAAGUGAUUAUAAUGUAAGUUUGAAUACCUUAGAUGCCAGUGACCAAAGCUGAACUUCUAAAUGGGGUCCAAACUGUCUCAGAUGGAGCAGCCAAAAUUUCCAGUAGUUUCUAUACAUCCUGGCUGCUAUGAACCUGAGGUGAUAUCAGAGGGAUGUGAAGUUACUUAAAAUAAUUUUGCAUUAGAUUGUGUGUCAAAGCUGAGUAUCGUCUGUUUGAACAUCUAUGCUGUCUACUUACAUCACAUGUAAGGAAAACAUAAAUGUAAUAAUUUAAUGUGUGUUGCUUCUAUCAGCAUCAGUGAGCCAUCUUGUUUCCUUACUUUCUACUAAAGUGUAAUAUAGAGGUUGUUUGCACUACUCUGCCAUGAAAUAGUACAAAUGUUCUUUUAGGUACAUUGUUUAACAUAUAUAUCAUAGGUAAGAAGGGGCCAUUUUGUUUGCACAACUUGUGUUAGAAAAUAGAUUUAAAAAUAUCUGUGGCUCAAGUUAUGUAGAUAUGGUAGUGGAUACUUUU